CUGGGGAAGGAAAGCAGUUGGUGCAAGGGACAGAGGCCUGGGUGAUUCUGCCAUCAAUGCUCUGUGACUCCAGAGAAAGACCUGCCCUCUCUGGGCCUCCGUUUCCCUCUCCGUAAACCAGAUUUCCCUGCAGUUGGAGAGGGU
Molecule: long non-coding RNA, 144 nt
Organism: Pipistrellus kuhlii (Kuhl's pipistrelle)
Lineage: Eukaryota; Metazoa; Chordata; Mammalia; Chiroptera; Vespertilionidae
Exons: 3
Source: RefSeq, a predicted model, not a curated record